RNAcentral lists this ribosomal RNA (754 nucleotides) under uncultured Acidobacteriota bacterium. Its description in RNAcentral is "bacterial SSU rRNA". It matches the Rfam family "Bacterial small subunit ribosomal RNA", at positions 40 to 775 of the family's 1533-position model. The record is from RNAcentral. Lineage: Bacteria; Pseudomonadati; Acidobacteriota.
AUUCAGGCCUAACACAUGCAAGUCGAGCGCGAAAGCGACUUCGGUCGUUAGUAGAGCGGCGCACGGGUGAGUAACACGUGGAUAAUCUGCCUGGGUGUGGGGAAUAACUUGGGGAAACCUGAGCUAAUACCGCAUACGUUCAUUGGGCUUCGGCCUGAUGAGGAAAGACCGCCUCUUCUUGAAAGCGGUCGCACCUAGAGGAGUCCGCGGCUGAUUAGCUAGUUGGUGAGGUAAUGGCUCACCAAGGCGACGAUCAGUAGCCGGCCUGAGAGGGUGAUCGGCCACACUGGAACUGAGACACGGUCCAGACUCCUACGGGAGGCAGCAGUGGGGAAUAUUGGACAAUGGGCGCAAGCCUGAUCCAGCAACGCCGCGUGGAGGAUGAAGGCCUUCGGGUUGUAAACUCCUGUCAGGUGGAACGAAAAACCUCAGCUAACAACUGAGCAUAUGACGGUACCACCAGAGGAAGCCCCGGCUAACUCUGUGCCAGCAGCCGCGGUAAUACAGAGGGGGCAAGCGUUAUUCGGAAUUAUUGGGCGUAAAGGGCGCGUAGGCGGCCAAGCAAGUCAGGGGUGAAAUCCCUCGGCUCAACCGAGGAAUUGCCUCUGAAACUGCAUGGCUUGAGACCGGGAGAGGGUGGUGGAAUUCCCAGUGUAGCGGUGAAAUGCGUAGAUAUUGGGAGGAACACCGGUGGCGAAGGCGGCCACCUGGACCGGUUCUGACGCUGAGGCGCGAAAGUGUGGGGAGCAAACAG